Pristis pectinata (smalltooth sawfish) is the source of this 164-nucleotide small nuclear RNA. RefSeq annotates it as U1 spliceosomal RNA. The record is from RefSeq and is a predicted model, not a curated record. The transcript has a single exon. Lineage: Eukaryota; Metazoa; Chordata; Chondrichthyes; Rhinopristiformes; Pristidae.
AUACUUACCUGGCAGGGAAUCAUUGGUGAUCAGGAGGGCUGAGGUUCCAGGAUGAGGCCAUCCCAUUGCACUUUGGGUGUGCUGACACCUGCGAUGUCCCCAAAUGCGGGCUACUUGACUGCAUGAUUUGUGGUAGUGGGGGACUGUGUUUGUGCUCUCUCCUG